AUACGGAGGGUGCAAGCGUUAUCCGGAUUUACUGGGUUUAAAGGGUGCGCAGGCGGGCUGUUAAGUCAGUGGUGAAAUCUCCGGGCUCAACCCGGAAACUGCCUCUGAUACUAUCAGUCUUGAAUACUGUUGAGGUGGGCGGAAUAGGUCAUGUAGCGGUGAAAUGCAUAGAUAUGACCUGGAACCCCAAUCGCGAAGGCAGCUCACUAAGCAGAAUAUUGACGCUCAUGCACGAAAGCGUGGGGAUCAAACAGGAUUAGAUACCCUGGUAGUCCACGCCCUAAACGAUGAUUACUGGACGUUGGCAAUAUGACCGAUCAGCGUCUCUGAAGCGAAAGCAUUAAGUAAUCCACCUGGGAAGUACGAUCGCAAGAUUGAA
This 379-nucleotide ribosomal RNA is filed under the name uncultured bacterium. Its description in RNAcentral is "bacterial SSU rRNA". It matches the Rfam family "Bacterial small subunit ribosomal RNA", at positions 523 to 898 of the family's 1533-position model. The record is from RNAcentral.